GAUGAACGCUGGCGGCGUGCCUAAUACAUGCAAGUCGAGCGAACGGACGAGAAGCUUGCUUCUCUGAUGUUAGCGGCGGACGGGUGAGUAACACGUGGAUAACCUACCUAUAAGACUGGGAUAACUUCGGGAAACCGUAGCUAAUACCGGAUAAUAUUUUGAACCGCAUGGUUCAAAAGUGAAAGACGGUCUUGCUGUCACUUAUAGAUGGAUCCGCGCUGCAUUAGCUAGUUGGUAAGGUAACGGCUUACCAAGGCAACGAUGCAUAGCCGACCUGAGAGGGUGAUCGGCCACACUGGAACUGAGACACGGUCCAGACUCCUACGGGAGGAAGCAGUAGGGAAUCUUCCGCAAUGGGCGAAAGCCUGACGGAGCAACGCCGCGUGAGUGAUGAAGGUCUUCGGAUCGUAAAACUCUGUUAUUAGGGAAGAACAUAUGUGUAAGUAACUGUGCACAGCUUGACGGUACCUAAUCAGAAAGCCACGGCUAACUACGUG
Molecule: ribosomal RNA, 497 nt
Filed under: uncultured bacterium
Lineage: Bacteria
Description: partial 16S ribosomal RNA
Rfam family: Bacterial small subunit ribosomal RNA
Source: RNAcentral